Delphinapterus leucas (beluga whale) is the source of this 2543-nucleotide non-coding RNA. The record is from RefSeq and is a predicted model, not a curated record. Lineage: Eukaryota; Metazoa; Chordata; Mammalia; Artiodactyla; Monodontidae.
GGUGAAGAGCCUGCAAGAUGACUUAUGGGAAGAACAGACUCUGGUGUCCCAAUCGCAUGCGGCGUUUUGAAAUUCACAGCCAAGCCUCUUUGCAACACCGUGCUCACCCGGGGCUAAGGUACUUCUGUUUCAGGCAGUGUGGGCUUGAACUCUGGAGGCCUGGGUGCUCCCUAAUGCCACCUGCUUAAUGUGGCCUUUGGGGUCUCAGCUGUAAAGUGGGAAUCAUGACGGUAAUCACCUUAACGUGACGAGGCUCUGCACAGCUCGAGUUGUAACUGCCUCUGUACCUGCACAGGAGAUUUGAAUCUGGCAACUGUGUAUCAGGUGUGACUAUGUCCCUGUGUGAAGUCCCAAGGGAGGGGAUCCAUGUGAUUCCCUCUAAUGACCCUCCAGUGGAGAGGGAGGGGCUUUCUUCAGAAUAAAUACUAGAUGUCAGCUUUGCUAGCUGAUUAUUAUUUGUUUUGGAGGUUUGCGCACCUACUCGGAAGGAGUUGAACUAGCUGCUGGAAUGAUUAAGGAAGGCAUUUUUAGAUAAGUAUUAUCACACAACGAUCCAAUCAAUACAGGCGACCGUGCAGAAUCUGCUCGGGUAACACUGUGCCUCGUCAUUUUUAUGAGCAUACUUUCAACGGAGGGCUGGUCCUGGGGUUAUUGGCUGUGGAUGUACUUCAGGCUCAGUUGCCUCAAGUCCAAGAUCUACGGCAUAGCAACCAUUCUGGUGCAAAGCAAGACUUUUCAAGAUCUUGUAAGACCUAAAGAGGAGCCAUAAGGACUGUAUGGACUAUUCCUGGGAUGGUUCACAAAUCCAUUUGCCUGUAAGCGGCGCCUCAGGUCCUCUCUGAAAUUCUGGCCUAAACUUGUAUCAGCUCUGUAAUUGGUACCUAUGGACCUACAGGGUGACAUCCCUGGAAUCUGGAAAUCAAGCUGCCCUGUAGAAGUCAAACCCUUCAGGUCCACACAUGAUGGACAGGAUAAGUUAUCUGCACAAGGCCCCAGAGGGAACAGGAUGCCUCCCUGCUUGGGCUUGGAAAUGCGAUCCAGGCAUGCCUGCAUGUGGAGGAGCCAAAUGAAAUCUCAGAAAAGCUUCUGGACAGCAGGUUUGCAAAGCUGAUAUCCAGACCUCACCCGGGGAUGUGCAUGCAGCCUGCACAUGUAGUGGCAGGCCACCACACCUUCACCUACUUUCUUAAUCAAUACUUACAGACUACUGACCACAGCCCCAAAUGGGAGAAAACCUUCCUGCACUGCAACCCUGGGCCUGGAUGACUCAGCCAGCCUCUAACAACCUGGUGGUGCCAAAGAGCUUCUGCAGCCCUGGACAGCCAUCCAACAAGGCCUGGACUUCAGGUGCUAACAAAACCUUUGUGUACCCCUCAGUGUGGCCUCAGGCUGGCUCCACAAAGGUGCCUCUCCAGGGCAGUGAUGGGCACAGCUGCCCCGCACUUCCCCAGAGACUCUGCCAGGAGAGUCCUUGCCCCACCAGCAGCUCUUACCUUGGCCUUGUAUUCGGCCCCGGGGGUAGCCUUCUUGGCCACAGGGCGAUGGAUGCCAGAGCCUCCCGCUAGAGGGGGAACACAGAGGCCAUGAGUCAGGUAAGGCCAGGGCAAUUGGGCAGCCUUCUCCCCGGAGAGCUGCUGGGGAGAUGAGUCACAGCCAGGACCGAAUGGUUGUCCCCUACCAACAAAGAACAAAGAGACCUUCCUCGAGAAGGGACUGUCCAGCGACUUGACAAUUAGACCACCGAGCUCCUCAGACUGACCUGAAUCCAGAAACCUACCAGUGACCUCUGGAAACACAUAUAUCCUCGACUAACAUAAAAUACCUCACCCUCUCCAAACUAAAUCUGCUCCAUUUGUUCUGGGGAAAAGAACAUAGGCUUUGAAGCCAGACAGACUGGGGUUCAACUCCCAGCUCUAACCGUAGGCAUGGCUCUUAACUUUCUGGAGCCUCUUAAGCUUAUCUGUAAAAUGAGGCACUAAGGCUUGAUCUCAUUCAGGCUUCACACCAAAACUGUGAGUUAGAAAGGCAGCUCUUAUCCCAUCGUACAGACGUGAAAACUGCGGCUUCGAGAGAUCGAAGUGCUUCCAAGGCCAGUGUUAUUUCCAGCCCGGACUUCCACACAGUCAUGGAUGGAAUCACAUAGUGGCGACUAGGGAGGGCUCUCUUAGAUGACCCAGAUGAAUCUCCUUUAAAGGUGAGAAACUAGAAGGUCAGAGAGGCAGCGUGACCAGGCCAAAGUCACACAGCUAAGAGCAGCUGGCCAAGCAGUCCUGAACCCAGGCCUCCUACUGCAUCGUGUGGUACUACUGCUUCUGCACCACACCAUCUCAGAGCAGAGGAGGUGAGCUGGGCCCUGGCCUGGGGGGCCACAGAAAGAGAAGGAGCCCUGAGGCGCUCCAGCUGGGUGAGGAUGCCGUGGGGCUCUGAGAGCAUACCUGCUACUGGCAUCAGGGACCUCCCACAGGAGCCCCUGGACCUCCAGAUGCAGAACAAGAGCUCUGCUUCGAGGGCCUGGGGGCAGGGGCCCUGCGGGGGCUGCCUUG